Molecule: ribosomal RNA, 744 nt
Filed under: uncultured archaeon
Lineage: Archaea
Description: bacterial SSU rRNA
Rfam family: Archaeal small subunit ribosomal RNA
Source: RNAcentral
AUAGGUAUUGGAUGCUGGAAUGCACUAAUACCCAAAGCUUCGGCACCUAAGUAUUGGGCUGCGACCUAUCAGAUUGUAGUGAGUGUAAAAUACUCACUAGUCUAUAACGGGUAGGGGCCAUGAGAGUGGAAGCCUCGAGAUGCCUUUCUGAGACACGAAGGCAGGUCCUACGGGACGCAGCAGGCGCGAAACCUUUCCAAUGCACUAACGUGUGAGAAGGGAACCCUGAGUGGUUAUGCACUGCAUAACCUUUUGUUUUGUUUCGACGGCAAGACGAAUAAGUGGUGGGCAAUACAGGUGCCAGCCGCCGCGGUAAUACCUGAGCCACUAAUGGUGAUCACGAUUAUUGGGUCUGAAGCGUUCGUAGCCGGUCCAUUAAGUCUCUGGUGAAAUCUGGCAGCUAACUGUCAGGCGUGCUGGAGAUACUACUGGACUUGGGAUCGGAAGAGGUCAGAGGUAUUCCAUGUGUAGGGGUUAAAUCCUUUAAUCCAUGGAGGACCACCUGUGGCGAAGGCGUCUGACUGGAACGAGUCCGACGGUGAGGGACGAAAGCGUGGGGAGCGAAUGGGAUUAGAUACCCCAGUAGUCCACGCUGUAAACGAUGCCCGCUUGGUGUUGCAAAUCUUACGCGGAUUUGCAGUGCCGGAGUGAAGAUGUUAAGCGGGCCACCUGGGGAGUACGUCCGCAAGGAUGAAACUUAAGGGAAUUGGCGGGGGAACACACAAGGAGUGGAGGCUGCGGUUC